UUGACACUGAACAUUGAGCCUUGAUGUGUAGGAUAGGUGGGAGGCUUUGAAGUGUGGACGCCAGUCUGCAUGGAGCCGACCUUGAAAUACCACCCUUUAAUGUUUGAUGUUCUAACGUGGGCCCCUUACCGGGGUUGCGGACAGUGUCUGGUGGGUAGUUUGACUGGGGCGGUCUCCUCCUAAAGAGUAACGGAGGAGCACGAAGGUUGGCUAAUCCUGGUCGGACAUCAGGAGGUUAGUGCAAUGGCAUAAGCCAGCUUGACUGCGAGCGUGACGGCGCGAGCAGGUGCGAAAGCAGGUCAUAGUGAUCCGGUGGUUCUGAAUGGAAGGGCCAUCGCUCAACGGAUAAAAGGUACUCCGGGGAUAACAGGCUGAUACCGCCCAAGAGUUCAUAUCGACGGCGGUGUUUGGCACCUCGAUGUCGGCUCAUCACAUCCUGGGGCUGAAGUAGGUCCCAAGGGUAUGGCUGUUCGCCAUUUAAAGUGGUACGCGAGCUGGGUUUAGAACGUCGUGAGACAGUUCGGUCCCUAUCUGCCGUGGGCGCUGGAGAACUGAGGGGGGCUGCUCCUAGUACGAGAGGACCGGAGUGGACGCAUCACUGGUGUUCGGGUUGUCAUGCCAAUGGCACUGCCCGGUAGCUAAAUGCGGAAGAGAUAAGUGCUGAAAGCAUCUAAGCACGAAACUUGCCCCGAGAUGAGUUCUCCCUGACUCCUUGAGAGUCCUGAAGGAACGUUGAAGACGACGACGUUGAUAGGCCGGGUGUGUAAGCGCAGCGAUGCGUUGAGCUAACCGGUACUAAUGAACCGUGAGGCUUAACCUUACAACGCCGAAG
This 832-nucleotide ribosomal RNA is filed under the name Escherichia coli. RNAcentral describes it as "partial 23S ribosomal RNA". It matches the Rfam family "Bacterial large subunit ribosomal RNA", at positions 2111 to 2925 of the family's 2925-position model. The record is from RNAcentral. Lineage: Bacteria; Pseudomonadati; Pseudomonadota; Gammaproteobacteria; Enterobacterales; Enterobacteriaceae.